Molecule: ribosomal RNA, 673 nt
Filed under: Odorrana margaretae (green odorous frog)
Lineage: Eukaryota; Metazoa; Chordata; Amphibia; Anura; Ranidae
Description: partial 12S ribosomal RNA
Rfam family: Bacterial small subunit ribosomal RNA
Source: RNAcentral
CUCAAGUUGAAGGUCAUCGGCGUUAAGCGUGAUUAAAGUUCUCUUAGAUUAGGGCCAAAUUAAUACUUAGUUGUUUAAAGCUUGUCAUUAAGAGGAACACAAACGAAAGUUGCCCUAACCCACACACUUGAAUACACGACAGCUGGGGGACAAACUGGGAUCAGAUACCCCACUAUGCCCAGCCGUAAACAAUUAAUCCACAACCAUAAGCGCCAGGGAAUUACGAGCCAAGCUUAAAACCCAAAGGAUUUGACGGUGUCCCACCCCCCUAGAGGAGCCUGUUCUAUAAUCGAUGAUCCCCGCUACACCCGACCAUUUCUUGCUUAUCAGUCUGUAUACCUCCGUCGAAAGCCUACCAUGUGAACGCCCCCACAGUAGGUUCAAUGAUCCCCGUCAAUACGUCAGGUCAAGGUGCAGCUUAAGAAAUGGGAAGCGAUGGGCUACAAUUUCUAACCUAGAACAAACGAAAGGCUAUGUGAAAUCAUAGUCACGAAGGCGGAUUUAGUAGUAAAAAGAAAAUAGAGUGUUCUUUUUAACCUGGCUCUGGGACGCGUACACACCGCCCGUCACCCUCUUCGAUAGUGCUAACCCACAGUUUAUAACCUAUUUAUACGUCUGAGAAGAGGCAAGUCGUAACAUGGUAAGUGUACUGGAAAGUGCACUUGGUAUAUUA